RNAcentral lists this ribosomal RNA (595 nucleotides) under uncultured archaeon. RNAcentral describes it as "bacterial SSU rRNA". It matches the Rfam family "Archaeal small subunit ribosomal RNA", at positions 102 to 697 of the family's 1478-position model. The record is from RNAcentral.
GGAUAACCUACCCUUUAGGACCGGGAUAACUUGGGAAACUGAGGAUAAUACUGGAUAGGCAAUUUUUCCUGUAAUGGUUUUUUGUUUAAAUGUUUUUUCGCCUAAGGAUGGGUCUGCGGCCGAUUAGGUAGUUGGUUAGGUAACGGCUUACCAAGCCGUUGAUCGGUACGGGUUGUGAGAGCAAGAGCCCGGAGAUGGAACCUGAGACAAGGUUCCAGGCCCUAUGGGGCGCAGCAGGCGCGAAACCUCCACAAUGUGAGAAAUCGCGAUGGGGGGAUCCCAAGUGCCAUUCUUAACGGGAUGGCUUUUCAUUAGUGUAAAAAGCUUUUGGAAUAAGAGCUGGGCAAGACCGGUGCCAGCCGCCGCGGUAACACCGGCAGCUCUAGUGGUAGCAAUUUUUAUUGGGCCUAAAGCGUCCGUAGCCGGUUUAAUAAGUCUCUGGUGAAAUCCUGUAGCUUAACUAUGGGAAUUGCUGGAGAUACUAUUAGACUUGAGACCGGGAGAGGUUAGAGGUACUCCCAGGGUAGAGGUGAAAUUCUGUAAUCCUGGGAGGACCGCCUGUUGCGAAGGCGUCUAACUGGAACGGUUCUGACGG